Molecule: unclassified non-coding RNA, 358 nt
Filed under: soil metagenome
Description: partial contains 5.8S ribosomal RNA, internal transcribed spacer 2, and large subunit ribosomal RNA
Rfam family: 5.8S ribosomal RNA (bases 1-120)
Source: RNAcentral
GAUGAAGAACGUAGCGAAAUGCGAUAAGUAAUGUGAAUUGCAGAAUUCAGUGAAUCAUCGAAACUUUGAACGCACAGUGCGCCCGUCAGUAUUCUGGCGGGCAUGCCUGUUCGAGCGUCAUUACGCCCCUCAAGUCCCCUGUGGACUUGGUGUUGGGGAUCGGCGAGGCUGGUUUUCCAGCACAGCCGUCCCUUAAAUUAAUUGGCGGUCUCGCCGUGGCCCUCCUCUGCGCAGUAGUAAAACACUCGCAACAGGAGCCCGGCGCGGUCCACUGCCGUAAAACCCCCCAACUUUUUAUAGUUGACCUCGAAUCAGGUAGGACUACCCGCUGAACUUAAGCAUAUCAAUAAGCGGAGGA